Molecule: ribosomal RNA, 412 nt
Filed under: uncultured bacterium
Lineage: Bacteria
Description: bacterial SSU rRNA
Rfam family: Bacterial small subunit ribosomal RNA
Source: RNAcentral
GAACGGGUGAGUAACGCGUGAGAACCUGCCUUUCAGUGGGGGACAACAGUUGGAACGACUGCCUAAUACCCCAUAAUAUGGGCGCUCCGCAUGGAGAGCCCAUUAAAGAGAGCAAUUUUGGUUACAGACGAGCAUGCGCUCCAUUAGCCAGUUGGCGGGGUAACGGCCCACCAAAGCGACGAUGGAUAGGGGUUCUGAGAGGAAGGUCCCCCACAUUGGAACUGAGACACGGUCCAAACUCCUACGGGAGGCAGCAGUGAGGAAUAUUGGUCAAUGGUCGGCAGACUGAACCAGCCAAGUCGCGUGAGGGAAGACGGCCCUACGGGUUGUAAACCUCUUUUGUCGGAGAGUAAAGUACGCUACGUGUAGCGUAUUGCAAGUAUCCGAAGAAAAAGCAUCGGCUAACUCCGUG